CUCUCGGUAGCUUAGUUGGUAAAGCAUUAGACUGUAACUGAUUAAUACCGCUGUUCCAAAGAACAGUUCCUUAAUUGCGAUCUAAGGAUCGGGUGUUCGACUCACUCCCGGGAGA
Molecule: transfer RNA, 115 nt
Filed under: Candida albicans
Lineage: Eukaryota; Fungi; Ascomycota; Pichiomycetes; Serinales; Debaryomycetaceae
Also listed under: 24 other names
Rfam family: tRNA
About the family: Transfer RNA (tRNA) molecules are approximately 80 nucleotides in length. Their secondary structure includes four short double-helical elements and three loops (D, anti-codon, and T loops).
Source: Rfam by way of RNAcentral